RNAcentral lists this non-coding RNA (31 nucleotides) under Mus musculus (house mouse). The record is from RNAcentral. Lineage: Eukaryota; Metazoa; Chordata; Mammalia; Rodentia; Muridae.
UAAAAGCAUAUUACAUGGAGGCAAGGGCCUU